RNAcentral lists this long non-coding RNA (686 nucleotides) under Sorghum bicolor (sorghum). RNAcentral's name for it is "long non-coding RNA (SBIC_LNC003905)". The record is from RNAcentral. Lineage: Eukaryota; Viridiplantae; Streptophyta; Magnoliopsida; Poales; Poaceae.
UGGGUAAGGCACCUACCUAGACUGUGUGCAUUGCAAACUGUUGCGGCCUUAAAUGGUAUUGACAUGGAACAUUACUUUUGCCCACCUCUUGAAGUAACGUGAAAAUAAUUUUUUGAAGACACAAGCUUAAAAGAUUACUGUUGAAGAGAAGGAAGAAAUAGAGAAUUUCAAUUAAGUGAUCUGCAACUUAAAAGAGUACUCAGUACUGUUCAAGAGAUGGGAAGAAUUAGAGUUACAAGUUUAAGAGAUACAUCAUGAAGAGUUUCAAGUCUCUAUUUAAACUCUCAUGAGUGCAAGGUCAGCAGCAAAUUAAACUAGUGCACUCUGCACCUGUCUAACUUAUUCUUGUCUUCAUCUCUUUCAGCAGCCAUGUAGAGAUCCAUAGUUUUACCAAUUUGAUACUGUGUGCUGUGAAAUACCUGUACCAUCUUUCUUAGAACAUAGCCUUUUUAUAGUGCACUCUGCACCUGUCUAACUUAUUCUUGUCUUCAUCUCUUUCAGCAGCCAUGUAGAGAUCCAUAGUUUUACCAAUUUGAUACUGUGUGCUGUGAAAUACCUGUACCAUCUUUCUUAGAACAUAGCCUUUUUAUCUUUGGAAGAUGAAUACAUAUCUUUAAGAGCUCAUAAAGAUUUUCCUUCUGUGCACUACAGGGAGCCUCGAGGGUUUGGAUUUGUCCAGUAUUAUG